UCCGGUGAGUAUGAUGGAGAGGCCACACCUGUUCCCAUCCCGAACACAGAAGUUAAGCUCUCACAUGCCGACGAUAUCUGGUUGGAAACAACCCGGGAAAAUAGGUCUCGCCGGAU
This 116-nucleotide ribosomal RNA is filed under the name Clostridiaceae bacterium. RNAcentral also lists the same sequence under 1 other name. Lineage: Bacteria; Bacillati; Bacillota; Clostridia; Eubacteriales; Clostridiaceae. The record is from RNAcentral.